UUCUACAUUUUUCUAAAGACACCCUUCGUUAAGUAACCCUGUAACUCUCUCCAUACCUCACACGCACCCGAUUCGUGCUUUCCCUUUUCAUUUCAGUGAUUUCUCUUCCCUUUCUCCAUCUUCAGUUCACCCACGCACAAAACAAGACAAAAAAAAACCCACAGAAGAAUCUUCCACUUCGCGAGAGAAAGAGCGAGCGCUCUGCGUAACGCCCUGGGCAUCUCCGAAUCCGGAUCCGAUCUCUCUCCACACGAACCGUUUACGACUUUUCUAGAUCUGAUUGAGGUAACUAACCUCCUCCUCAAAUUUAUUGUUAAUUUAAUGCUAUACCUAUGGAUUUUAGUAGAUCUGGGUAUGAUGCGUUGCUAGUAUUGUUUCAUGGUGGAUUCGGUUUUGGUGUCUGGAAUGUGCUUUUACUCUUUUAUUUUAAAUAAGUAAUUGCAUUGCUCUGCAGUUCUAAAUAUCUGAUCUGCUAUUGAUUUUUUUUUAAAGUAAAGCUUCCUAAUCAGAUCUAACUGUAUUAAGAUGAUGCUCGUAUCGAUAGAUAUACGAGUUUAUGGUUAAUUAAUGGAUCUAUCAUUGGCUAAGAGUUUUGGAAUUUUGAAUGACUCUAUUGUUUUGGUGUGGCG
RNAcentral lists this long non-coding RNA (629 nucleotides) under Populus trichocarpa (black cottonwood). RNAcentral describes it as "long non-coding RNA (PTRI_LNC003381)". The record is from RNAcentral. Lineage: Eukaryota; Viridiplantae; Streptophyta; Magnoliopsida; Malpighiales; Salicaceae.